Molecule: long non-coding RNA, 103 nt
Organism: Thalassophryne amazonica
Lineage: Eukaryota; Metazoa; Chordata; Actinopteri; Batrachoidiformes; Batrachoididae
Exons: 3
Source: RefSeq, a predicted model, not a curated record
AGUCUUGAAAAAAUAAAUAUAGAUAGACCUCUAGGAGGCACUGUUACAUUAAAAAUAUGUAUACCUGAGAGAGGUACACCAAGUUCCCCAGAUCGUCAUAAUU